This 363-nucleotide ribosomal RNA is filed under the name Aporia goutellei. Its description in RNAcentral is "partial large subunit ribosomal RNA". Lineage: Eukaryota; Metazoa; Arthropoda; Insecta; Lepidoptera; Pieridae. The record is from RNAcentral.
GUCUUUUAAUUGAAGACUUGAAUGAAUGAUUUGAUGAGAUAUAUACUGUUUCUUUAUUAAUAUUAGAACUUAAUUUUUUAGUUAAAAAGCUAAAAUUUUUUUAAAAGACGAGAAGACCCUAUAGAGUUUAAUUUUUUAUGUUUUAUAAAUAUUUUAUAAAAUUUAUAAUUUUAUAAAAUUUAAAAAAUUUUGUUGGGGUGAUAGAAAAAUUUAAUUAACUUUUUUUAAAAAUUUAACAUUAAUUUAUGAAUUUAUGAUCCAUAAUUUAUGAUUAUAAGAUUUAAUUACCUUAGGGAUAACAGCGUAAUUUUUUUUUUUAGUUCAAAUAAAAAUUAAAGUUUGCGACCUCGAUGUUGGAUUAAG